GUGAGGAAUAUUGGUCAAUGGGCGAGAGCCUGAACCAGCCAAGUCGCGUGAAGGAAGAAGGAUCUAUGGUUCGUAAACUUCUUUUGCAGGGGAAUAAAGUGCGGGACGUGUCCUGUUUUGUAUGUACCCUGAGAAUAAGGAUCGGCUAACUCCGUGCCAGCAGCCGCGGUAAUACGGAGGAUCCGAGCGUUAUCCGGAUUUAUUGGGUUUAAAGGGUGCGUAGGUGGUUUGAUAAGUCAGCGGUGAAAGUUUGCAGCUUAACUGUAAAAAUGCCGUUGAAACUGUCGGACUUGAGUGUAAAUGAGGUAGGCGGAAAGCGUGGUGUAGCGAUGAAAUGCAUAGAUAUCACGCAGAACUCCGAUUGCGAAGGCAGCUUACUAAGCUACAACUGACACUGAAGCACGAAAGCGUGGGGAUCAAACAGGAUUAGAAACCCCAGUAGUCC
RNAcentral lists this ribosomal RNA (445 nucleotides) under uncultured bacterium. RNAcentral describes it as "partial 16S ribosomal RNA". It matches the Rfam family "Bacterial small subunit ribosomal RNA", at positions 354 to 796 of the family's 1533-position model. The record is from RNAcentral.